UGCAUCUUACACGGCAGGAAGGAGAGCGCUUGAACGUGGAUGAUGGUGUGCCUUGGAUCAACGUAGCUAGUGGAAGCAAGCAAGUUUAAAAAAUGGAAGAACGAGGUUUGCGGACAUGGUGAAAAGCUCGCUCUCGGUGGUGUAGUAACUUUUGGGCGCAACAAGGACAUCGAUGUUGUUUGUGUUGGAAAUGUGAGGGCCCGGGAGAUGUCUUCCAUCCGUCCACAGUGCGAUUCAUGCACCAGCAGUGUGCAUCAACACACUCACACACCAAA
Long non-coding RNA from Selaginella moellendorffii, 275 nucleotides. RefSeq lists it as uncharacterized. NCBI's taxonomy places the organism in Eukaryota, Viridiplantae, Streptophyta, Lycopodiopsida, Selaginellales, Selaginellaceae. The transcript has 3 exons. The record is from RefSeq and is a predicted model, not a curated record.